CCUCCCACAUCUGUUGAAUUUGUUAGUGAUGCAAAACAUUCACCUUCAAAGGACUGAGAAUUACUGAGCCUUAACUUGAGACAAUGGGUUGAGGCAAAGAUGACUCAAAAAGAAACCCACUCAAGGAUUAAGAGCACUUGGCUGCUUUUGCAGAGGACCCAACUUCAGUUCCCAGGGCAUGACAGCUCACUCUGUCUUGGGGAAACAAACAAGUCUGAGACAGGACUGCUUUGAGUUCAAUGUCAGCUUGCUAUUAGUUCCAGCCAACCUGAGCUGGAGGCCAGCUUUCCAGGAAGCCUACAGGAGAGAUUUGCAUAGAAGGGUGAAGAUGGUCACCAACAAAAGGACUGAGUGAAAUGAAACUGUUCCUUUUAUCCUGUCUGGGCCUGUCUGGCUCAGAGGGGCCAACAUGAAUGGCAAGAAAUCUGAGAAUGUCCUCCUGCAUGAAUCCCUGGGACAAUCAAUCCGUCCCCAGAUGUCAUUUGAAUGGCUGAUACACAUCAUAUGAGGAAGUGAUGGCAAGAUCCUAAAGAAGCUGUGGACGAUGAGACUUGGCAAAGUCAUACCCUGCACUGCAGACAUGCUCAAAUGUUCAUUCCCCGAGACAGAG
This 610-nucleotide long non-coding RNA is filed under the name Cricetulus griseus (Chinese hamster). RNAcentral describes it as "lncRNA (ENSCGRG00015042393.1)". The record is from RNAcentral. Lineage: Eukaryota; Metazoa; Chordata; Mammalia; Rodentia; Cricetidae.